UUAUUCUUGUCAUUUAAUAAAAGAUAGGGAUACAUAUGGAGAUAUUAUACAGAAGUUUUUUGAAGUAAGACAAGGUGUAGCAAUUGAAUUGUCUCAGUCCAAGUAUGUAUUAGCUGAAUUUGGGUACUGGAGUGCAAAACUUCAUUUUCAUUUUCUAAACAUUUUCAAUUGCAUCUGUAUCUUUCUUAGUUGCUUCUGUUAAAAUAUACAAAAAAUAUAAUGGGAAAACGCUAUCAAUUCUUUUAAAAAUAGCAGAAUUGUAGUUGACAAAAUUGGUACAACAAUUAGGACAAGACUCAACUAGGAAAUAUUCCAUUCUUUAGCAUAUAGAAACUUACAUAUGGUUUGCUAUCACUGCUGCCCAGUGCCACAGCCAACAUCUCAGUCUGUGCAAAGAAACAGGAGGACAGUCAGUGGGUGGGCUCGAAGCAGGAAACAGAAGGAGGGAGAGGGAGUGAGCGGGGGAGAGACUGUGUGCAUAUGUCCUGAGGAGUUGGGUAGUUAGAGCAUCCGUUAGGGAGAUGAAGAACCAAGAUUCAUACUCUUCUCUAUGUUCCACAGAAUGUGCCUAAAUUCAGCUCUACCAGAUCCCCCAUGGGCAAGUUAUUUGAUUAUUCUAUACUUUCCAAAUGUGGCUUCUUAGAGAUAUUUUAUUAUGACAAAAAUAAAAGAUAUCCCUUGGAGCAGAAGUAUUCUGUUUAUGUUAAUUAACAGUAUGCUGUAUAUUCUGCCUCUCUUCGUUCCUGUGCUAACUCCAUCAAGUGAACAGCAGCAGUGGGACAGCUGGAAAAUUUAAUCCUAAACUGAUCCAGGGGAUGGAAGAUGUUGAUUGAAGUUUGGGCUGUGAGCAGGAGCAGAGUAUGGCUGGAGGAUGUGUCUCACUCCUUGGGAUCCCACUGGAGGAGCACUCCUGAUCUGGGCCAAGUGCCCAAAUCCAGGCGCCUCAGCCCCUGUAUCUCCCGGCGCUGCUCUUCUCCUCUGAACUGCAAUUGUAUGUGGCAAAGCAGCUCUCUCUUCUCCCACAAGUGCUUUCUGCUCAUACAGGUUCCUAAAUCAGAAAAGGAGAUGGUAUUAGAUGUGCUCUGUGAUCUGAGCCUCCAUAAAUCUCCUCAGAGCUCACUUUGCUGUGCCCAUGAAGAAGGACCGUCAUGCUGGAACAGCUGCACUGGUGGCUGUUGACAAGAGCUGCAUGAGCUGAAUUCACUGACCUCACAAAGCCAGAACAAGGAUUUAGCGUGGUGGUAGCAGGUUAACAUUAGGAUCUUAAACUUCAGAGCUUUUUAUUUCACCAAAAUCAGUGGAAUUGCCUGUCCCAGUGGGAAACUGCCCCCCGUUACAGGGUACCUUGGACUCCUCUCUGCAUGAACAAGGGAGCUCCCCUGGGACCAAAACACCCUUGUCCUUCCAUGGCAGGGACACGUGGCUGGAGAUCUCUCAGUAACAGUGCUUUGUAACGUACUAAAUGAAAAAGAAGUUAAAUUAAAUUAAGUAUGGAUGCUUUGAGUCAGCUUUCAACAAAAAUUUCUCAGCGUGCUUGAAAGAAUCAUGCUCAGUUCAUUUGGUCCUUUAUGCAAUUUAAGAAAAAUUAAACUUGAGAUUUACAGAGGAAGUAGAUCAUGAUCCUGGUGGCACAUGAAUAGCGAACAGGAUAGUGUAUUCUGUGUGGUACAAAAACCAAGCUCAAAUUCCCUGUGACUUGCUUUGGGGAUAGAUAUAGACUAAGUGUCUGCAGAAAUCAUCAGCACAUUCUGGAAGCACUCACUACCCUUUGGCCCAGAUACUGCUGGGACCACCUUUACCCUUCCACAGGAGAUGAGAUUGGCCCCUUUUCAGUAUAACCCUCAUGUAACAUGGGGGGCUGAAGGCUGAAUCCAGCUCUUCUACAUCUUAAGUGAGUGUUAAGGGCAAUAUUUUUUAAAAAUAUAAAUGACAUUUCAGUCUCUUGUGAAUGUAUCCUGAAAAAAAAUUCUGUACAUCAGAUAUUCCCUCAUCAUAAUACUCCUUUCCUUCCCUUUGAGACCUAUUAGGACAGGACUUUGCACUGCUAGUGAGCACAGCACCCCUCUGGAAUCUUUGCUGCUGGAGCAGUGUCUGAGCUUUUUCAGAAGGCAAGGUGGGCACAGUGGGCUGCAGCAGCCGAUGGUGCUGGGGUGGGCCAAGUACCUGCUCUGACACAGAUGAGUGAACUAAGAAGGGGUUUUGGGGAGGAUUUUUGGAGGUGCUUUAAUGUGGGGAACUCUUGGUAUGUUUGGACAAGGGGAAUUUAAUGCAGAGCUUUGGAAAGGUAAGGGGAUGGCCGAGGCUGGGGGCUCUCCAGCUGGCACCUGGGAGUGUUUAUGAAAAGAACCAAGGGAUGGGGAAGGUUGAAAUGGAUAGAUUCAGAAAUAGGAAUUUUGUCACAGGAGAGGGGAGAGCUGGGGCAAGGGCUGGGGCGGGAGAGCAAUGAGCACCAAAGGAAUGGAUUUAUUAAACAACUCUGACAUAGAUGUUGUGUUUGGGGCAAUCUCCUGUCCUGUUUUCCUUCUCCUCCCUCCCUGGGUUGUUUGUUUUUGUUUUGUGGUUUUUGUUUGUUUGAUUUUUGUUUUACUUUGCUUGUUUGUUUUUUUCCUGCUGGCAACAGGAGUAGCCUAGCCCAACUAAACAGAGCUGAUUGGUUCCAGAAAAAUUGAUAUGAGCUUUUCUUGCACUUCUGAAAUCUUUCCAUCCUCACCUCUUAUAUUUAUUAGCUCAAAGUUAUUCACCAAAAGUUGACCUGAAUUUUCAAACUAGUUUUCUUCUGACAAAUAAACUCUUCACUAAAAACAUAUGUGCCCAUCACUACACUAAAUGCAGGCAGUCAGUCUAUUUACUUGCUGUUUGGCUGAUAGCUGGCUGCUUCCCAGCAGCACAGAGGAGAUGGAAGGCAUUAAGAAAAGCUCUGAAUAUUGCUGGCUGAAUAGCCUGCAAAAAAAAGGAUAAGGAUGACAGAAAUGAAAUCCUAGCACUGUUAAGAGGCACUUGGAAGAUUUUGCUACAGUUUCUAUUAAAAAAAAAAAAAUUAAAAAUUCAAUGGAAGUUGCACAAAUAAAGACCAUGCACAGCACUUUGAAACCAUACCAGUGCGACACCAUAAAUAUAUGAGAAUGAAAUAAAAAUAAUAAAAAAGGAUCUUAGUUGUAGGCAAUGCACUUUAAUGGCUCAGCUCAGUAUGGAAUAACCUCAAAAAUACAUUCCAGAACUGUUUUCUCCAUCACAUGGAAGAAAGGGGCAAAUGGAACUGCAAAUACCGGGCACAGCAUCUGCUAGACUUCACUGCCUGGCCACUGCUCUAGCACACUUGCCAUCCCUGCUGAGCGCCUUUCAUGGUGGGGCAGAAUCCAGCCUUGGGCUGAUGGGCUGCUCUGGAAGCUGCAGGCAGAAAAGUUGGGCAAUUGGAUCACCUUGGUGAAAGCAGGGGGGUGGCAGAGAAGCUGAAAGUGGAGCUGGAGUUCAGCAGCUCUGCUGGUACAAGAUGUAGGGGCCUCAAUGGUGUUACUGUGUCAGUCAAAAUAUUUUCAAUUGGAAACAAGGGGUGAAGAGAAAGAGCAACAACAGCUUCCAAAAGGAACUGGGCCAUUGUCCUGGUUUUGGCUGGGACAGAGGUAAUUUUCUUCAUAUGGUACAGUGCUGUGGUUUGAAUUCAGUAUGAGAAUCACGUUGAUAACACACUGAUAUUCUGGCUUUUGCUCAGUGGUGCUUACUCUAAAUCAAGGACUUUUCAGUGUCCUGUGCUUUGCCAGUCAGCAAGUGCACAAGAAGCCAAGAGGGAACAUGGCCAGGAGAGCUGACCCAAACUGACCAAAGGGCUGUUCCAUUCCCCAGGACAUGUUGAUUAUAUAGACUGGGGGGAGCUGGCUGGGAGGCACCAGUUGCUGCUCAGGGAUGGACAGGGUAUGGGGUCAGUGAGUGGUGAGCAAUUUUAGUGUGCAUCACUUGUUUAUCUUGGAUUUUAUUCCUCUCCCUCUCCCAUUUUCAUUACAAUUGUUAUCA
This 4008-nucleotide long non-coding RNA is filed under the name Taeniopygia guttata (zebra finch). Its description in RNAcentral is "lncRNA (ENSTGUG00000022795.1)". Lineage: Eukaryota; Metazoa; Chordata; Aves; Passeriformes; Estrildidae. The record is from RNAcentral.